This 267-nucleotide ribosomal RNA is filed under the name uncultured bacterium. RNAcentral describes it as "partial 16S ribosomal RNA". The record is from RNAcentral.
CUGCUGCCUCCCGUAGGAGUCUGGUCCGUGUCUCAGUACCAGUGUGGGGGACCUUCCUCUCAGAACCCCUACGCAUCGUCGCCUUGGUGGGCCGUUACCCCGCCAACAAGCUAAUGCGACGCAUGACCAUCCGUAGCCGGAAUCGCUUCCUUUAAACCCACAGAGAUGCCUCCAUGGGUUGUUACGCGGUAUUAGACGGAAUUUCUUCCGCUUAUCCCCCUGCUACAGGCAGGUUUCAUACGUGUUACUCACCCGUGCGCCGGUCGG